Brassica rapa (field mustard) is the source of this 642-nucleotide long non-coding RNA. RefSeq lists it as uncharacterized. The record is from RefSeq and is a predicted model, not a curated record. Lineage: Eukaryota; Viridiplantae; Streptophyta; Magnoliopsida; Brassicales; Brassicaceae.
UAUAACAAUAAUACUUAAAAGAUGGAAACAAACAAUAGUAACUAGUCAAAGUAUAUCAUAUUUUUAUAAGUUUGUGUUGAAAAACUUAGUCAAAUUUAGUAAAACUAAGGGAGAAACCAUAUUUUAAAAAUAUAAGUUUUACAUAUCUUAAAGUUACUUAUCACUCUUAGAAAUACAAGCUAUUCAAAAACUAGCUUAGAAACUUUAAUUAACGUGAAUGUUGGUAACCUUAUAAAUAUCACCAAUUAAGUUAUAAAUUUUCCAAAUAUUCAUUAAUAAACAUGAAUUAACAAGAAAAUGUUAAAAAGUAUUUAUAGUUUUAGAGAAAAUGCAAGUUUAUUAAACAUUGACGCAGAUGACAUCCACGGAGGUCGUCUAGUAGACUUCCAGAGAAGUCGUCCAUUUAGGUCAUUUUUGCAAUUAAAAUUUUACAAAGACUCUGUUGUAAUGAGUAGGUUAACUCCACAGACUAUGUGUUCAUGUCCAGGUUAUAAUCUUCUUGAGCCAUUGCAACAAGAUCAGCAUGUGUCGAACCUUCACUCAAAAAUAACAUUCUCGCUCCUUCGAAAUGAUCAACCACAAAAUUCCAACAUCCAUAUUUCAACAACCAUUCUCCAAACACUACAUAUAACUGACGCAUCA